CACCCUUAGAGUUUUGGCAUAACCAGAUACCGAUUUACAACGCGGACCAUGAGGUUACAGAAAUUCAGGGAGGUGCAUAUGUGGUUCAAUAGAUAAAGGUUCUUCAGCAUCAUUGAGCCGGUAAUUCUUUUGUUGUAAAUCAAUAAUUUCCAGUUGAAGAUUCAAAUUUCCCUUGUGUAGAUGCUUCGUUGUUUACAUUUGUCAUUUUUCUGAUAGACUCAUUCCUAUUAUGCUGCCUAAUCAGUGGAUGCUCUUAUACUGUAGCUCAUGAUAUUUAGCAA
Non-coding RNA from Arachis ipaensis, 281 nucleotides. Lineage: Eukaryota; Viridiplantae; Streptophyta; Magnoliopsida; Fabales; Fabaceae. The record is from RefSeq and is a predicted model, not a curated record.